Molecule: ribosomal RNA, 261 nt
Filed under: uncultured bacterium
Lineage: Bacteria
Description: partial 16S ribosomal RNA
Rfam family: Bacterial small subunit ribosomal RNA
Source: RNAcentral
GUCCACGCCCUAAACGAUGGAUACUCGACAUACGCGAUACACUGUGUGUGUCUGAGCGAAAGCAUUAAGUAUCCCACCUGGGAAGUACGACCGCAAGGUUGAAACUCAAAGGAAUUGACGGGGUCCGCACAAGCGGUGGAGCAUGUGGUUUAAUUCGAUGAUACGCGAGGAACCUUACCUGGGCUAGAAUGCGGUUUUGACCGUGGGUGAAAGCUCAUUUUGUAGCAAUACACAGAUCGUAAGGUGCUGCAUGGCUGUCGU